UACCUCAGUAACGGCGAGUGAAGCGGUAACAGCUCAAAUUUGAAAUCUGGCAGCAAUGUCCGAGUUGUAAUUUGUAGAGGAUGUUUCGAGCAUGGUCUGGCCUAAGUUCCUUGGAACAGGACGUCAUAGAGGGUGAGAAUCCCGUAUGCGGUCAGGUGCCUACGCUCAUGUGAAACUCCUUCGACGAGUCGAGUUGUUUGGGAAUGCAGCUCAAAAUGGGUGGUAAAUUUCAUCUAAAGCUAAAUAUUGGCCAGAGACCGAUAGCGCACAAGUAGAGUGAUCGAAAGAUGAAAAGCACUUUGGAAAGAGAGUUAAACAGUACGUGAAAUUGUUGAAAGGGAAGCGCUUGCAACCAGACUUGCACGCAGCUGAUCAUCCGCUGUUCUCAGUGGUGCACUCGGUUGCGUUCAGGCCAGCAUCGGUUUUGGUGGUGGGAUAAAGGCCUUAGGAAUGUAGCUGCUUUCGGGCAGUGUUAUAGCCUAGGGUGCAAUGCCGCCUACUGGGACCGAGGACCGCGCUUCGGCUAGGAUGCUGGCGUAAUGGUUGUAAGCGACCCGUCUUGAAACACGGACCAAGGAGUCUAACAUCUAUGCGAGUGUUUGGGUGUCAAACCCAUACGCGUAAUGAAAGUGAACGGAGGUCAGAACCCUUAAGGGUGCAUGAUCGACCGGUCCUGAAGUCUUCGGAUGGAUCUGAGUAAGAGCAUAGCUGUUGGGACCCGAAAGAUGGUGAACUAUGCCUGAAUAGGGUGAAGCCAGAGGAAACUCUGGUGGAGGCUCGCAGCGGUUCUGACGUGCAAAUCGAUCGUCAAAUUUGGGUAUAGGGGCGAAAGACUAAU
RNAcentral lists this ribosomal RNA (838 nucleotides) under Thelebolales sp. RNAcentral's name for it is "partial large subunit ribosomal RNA". It matches the Rfam family "Eukaryotic large subunit ribosomal RNA", at positions 76 to 935 of the family's 3401-position model. The record is from RNAcentral. Lineage: Eukaryota; Fungi; Ascomycota; Leotiomycetes; Thelebolales.